RNAcentral lists this transfer RNA (86 nucleotides) under bacterium. RNAcentral's name for it is "tRNA-Ser". It matches the Rfam family "tRNA". From Rfam's summary of the family: Transfer RNA (tRNA) molecules are approximately 80 nucleotides in length. Their secondary structure includes four short double-helical elements and three loops (D, anti-codon, and T loops). The record is from RNAcentral.
GGAGGAGUACUCAAAUGGUCACGAGAAUGGUUUGCUAAACCAUGUCACCGAAAGGUGACUUGUGGGUUCGAGCCCCACCUCCUCCG